CUUGGCCAAAAUUAUCGUCUCAUAUGACUUGCUUAAUAGUACCAAUGGAUUCGUUGAUCAGGCCUAAACUGACGUUAAUGUUUCUGUUCAACAUCAAUCGAGCCUUGAGUUUAAUGACCAGCAUUUGAUCCUGACCAGCCGUCAUGGGCGAGCCGUCAUCAUAUUUCAAUGAAGACUGAUAGUUAUUUUUGUAACUAACGAGGACAGUUAAUCUUGUCUUUGGUGAUAAUGUUAAACUUGGGC
This is a non-coding RNA of Cinara cedri, 243 nucleotides long. The record is from the annotation of a GenBank genome assembly. NCBI's taxonomy places the organism in Eukaryota, Metazoa, Arthropoda, Insecta, Hemiptera, Aphididae.